AACGAACGCUGGCGGCAUGCCUAACACAUGCAAGUCGAACGAGACCUUCGGGUCUAGUGGCGCACGGGUGCGUAACGCGUGGGAACCUGCCCUUAGGUUCGGAAUAACUCCCCGAAAGGGGUGCUAAUACCGGAUAAUGUCUUCGGACCAAAGAUUUAUCGCCUUUGGAUGGGCCCGCGUUGGAUUAGCUAGUUGGUAGGGUAAAAGCCUACCAAGGCGACGAUCCAUAGCUGGUCUGAGAGGAUGAUCAGCCACACUGGGACUGAGACACGGCCCAGACUCCUACGGGAGGCAGCAGUAUAGAAUAUUGGACAAUGGGCGAAAGCCUGAUCAAGCAAUGCCGCGUGAGUGAUGAAGGCCUUAGGGUUGUAAAGCUCUUUUACCCGGGAUGAUAAUGACAGUACCGGGAGAAUAAGCUCCGGCUAACUCCGUG
RNAcentral lists this ribosomal RNA (433 nucleotides) under uncultured bacterium. RNAcentral's name for it is "partial 16S ribosomal RNA". It matches the Rfam family "Bacterial small subunit ribosomal RNA", at positions 29 to 507 of the family's 1533-position model. The record is from RNAcentral.